UGAAUACGAGACGCUAAGGCGUCGAAGUAGUGUAUGUCAUACUUCCAAGAAAAGCUUGCACUGUCAUAGAUAAAAAACGCCUGUACCAUAACCGACACAGGUGGGUAGGUAGAGUAUACUAAGGGGCGCGAGAUAACUCUCUCUAAGGAACUGGGCAAAAUAACUCCGUAACUUCGGGAGAAGGAGUGCCUUAUUCGUAAGGUUGCAAUAACAAGAUCCAAGCAACUGUUUAUCAAAAACACAGGUCUCCGCUAAGUCGUAAGACGAUGUAUGGGGGCUGACGCCUGCCCAGUGCCAGAAGGUUAAAGAAGUUGGUUAGCAAUUGCGAAGCUGAUAACUGAAGCCCUGGUGAACGGCGGCCGUAACUAUAACGGUCCUAAGGUAGCGAAAUUCCUUGUCGGGUAAGUUCCGACCCGCACGAAAGGCGUAAUGAUUUGUAUACUGUCUCGGAGAGGGGCUCGGUGAAAUAGACUUGUCUGUGAAGAUGCGGACUACCUGCACCAGGACAGAAAGACCCUAUGAAGCUUUACUGUAGCUUGAAAUUGAAAUUGGACUUUAUUCGCGCAGUAUAGGUGGGAGGCGUUGAUUAUAAUCUUGUGGGAUUAUUGGAGCCAUCAGUGAGAUACCACUCUUGUAAUGUUAGAUUUCUAACUUUGAAUCAUUAUCUGGUCAAAGAACAGUUUCAGGCGGGCAGUUUGACUGGGGCGGUCGCCUCCUAAACGGUAACGGAGGCGUACAAAGGUUUCCUCUGAACGGUUAGAAAUCGUAUCUAGAGUGUAAAGGCAUAAGGAAGCUUGACUGUGAGACCUACAAGUCGAGCAGGGACGAAAGUCGGUCUUAGUGAUCUGACGGUACUGAGUGGAAAGGCCGUCACUCAACGGAUAAAAGUUACUCUAAGGAUAACAGGCUGAUCUCCCCCAAGAGUUCACAUCGACGGGGAGGUUUGGCACCUCGAUGUCGGCUCAUCGCAUCCUGGGGCGGUAGUACGUCCCAAGGGUUGGGCUGUUCGCCCAUGAAAGCGGUACGCGAGCUGGGUUCAGAACGUCGUGAGACAGUUCGGUCCAUAUCCGGUGUAGGCGUUAGAAUAUUGAGAGGAGCCUUCUUUAGUACGAGAGGACCGAGAAGGACAUACCUCUGGUGUACCAGUUAUCGUGCCAACGGUAAACGCUGGGUAGCUAUGUAUGGAGUGGAUAACCGCUGAAAGCAUCUAAGUGGGAAGCCCACCUCGAGAAAAGUAUUCUCAU
Molecule: ribosomal RNA, 1244 nt
Filed under: metagenome
Description: bacterial LSU rRNA
Rfam family: Bacterial large subunit ribosomal RNA
Source: RNAcentral